CCCAAGAGUGUGAGUGGCCAAUCUGUCUCUACAGCUGGCAAAGAAAGGAGGUGAGACGCUCCUGGAGCACAGAAGCCCACAGCCAAGGCAGGCUCUACUUGCCCCUGCCACCAAGGGAGAAAGAGAUGAGAUUUAGCAGCAGAACAACCACUCGAUCAUAUUAAAGAAAUCCAGAGGCCCAUUUCUCAUUACUGGGCUGCUGUUUGCUUAGACACUGAGAAAGUCUAUGGCAUUUACGUAAAAUGACAAAGCUACAAGAUAUUAAUAUUAGGCUGCUCAGUGAGCUGUGGAGCUGGCCAUA
RNAcentral lists this long non-coding RNA (301 nucleotides) under Monodelphis domestica (gray short-tailed opossum). RNAcentral's name for it is "lncRNA (ENSMODG00000037350.1)". Lineage: Eukaryota; Metazoa; Chordata; Mammalia; Didelphimorphia; Didelphidae. The record is from RNAcentral.